GGGUAGCCUCCGAAGGAGAAGACGUGGGAGUGGUCGGCAGUGACGAGGCUCAGCGUGUCCUCCUCGCUGGUGAGCUGGCCCGCCCUCUCAAUGGCGUCGUCGAACAUGAUCGUCUCAGUCAGUGCCCGCCCCAGCCCUUGGCCCGGGGGUCGCACGUCAAUGUCCAUGUUGGAGAUGAGCUGCGUGGCGAUGUCCUGGCACCCCUCCUGGCGGGCCGAGGCAGGCACGUCGGCGUCCGAGUACCAGUUGCGGUUCACCGUGUGGGCGUAGGCGCCGGCUGGCGAGGCAUGCUGCACCCGUGUGGUGGUUACCACUCCCACUGACUUUCCUGAGGGUGAUAGAGGUCAGGAUAUGCGAUGGAGGUCUGUCACCUGGCCCUGACCCCACAGCGGGCCCCAGCUCACCUGCUUUCUUGGCCCGAUUCAUCACGGAGAUGACCUCGUUGCCGCGUGUCGUGUUGCACUGGUUAAAGCGGGCGGCUGCACUCAAGCCAAUGGUCUGGAAGUUGCCCUUGACCCCGCACAGGAUCCUGGCAGCUGUCACCGUAGACACCCCCAUCCCUGAAGGAGCAGAAGUGUGUGAGGCUUGCUCCCCAGGGCUGUCCUGGAACCACUGAGGGUCCGGGCGCCGGGGCUGUGAGGGCUGCGGGGCUGGAAGGCCUGGCUCACUCACCGUCACCCAGGAAGAUGA
Pan troglodytes (chimpanzee) is the source of this 690-nucleotide long non-coding RNA. RefSeq lists it as uncharacterized. The transcript has 3 exons. NCBI's taxonomy places the organism in Eukaryota, Metazoa, Chordata, Mammalia, Primates, Hominidae. The record is from RefSeq and is a predicted model, not a curated record.